This 1273-nucleotide ribosomal RNA is filed under the name Triticum aestivum (bread wheat). RNAcentral's name for it is "partial small subunit ribosomal RNA". The record is from RNAcentral. Lineage: Eukaryota; Viridiplantae; Streptophyta; Magnoliopsida; Poales; Poaceae.
GGCGGGGUCGCCCGACGCGGCGCCCGAGCUGGCCAAGCCGUCGCUGCCGGCGACGUGGCUCAUCCUGCACGCGCUCUUCUGCGCCACCUCCAUGGCCGUCGGCUUCCGCUUCUCCCGCCUCGUCGUCUUCCUCCUCUUCCUGCCCACGCCGCCCAUGAACCCGUCGGCGCACCUCGUCUCCCUCGUCACCCCGCCCGUCAUGCUCGCCAGCUCCAACACCACCGCCACCAUCACUACUACGACGACCACCACCACCACCGUCACGACGACCACCACGCUGGCUGAGAGCGAGGCCGGCGCCAACGCGCACCACCAGGUCCACCACGGUCCGGUCUUCGUCGGCCGCCACGCCAUCCGCGUCCGCAAGUGGCCGCACCCGAACCCCGGCGAGCUCCUCAAGGCCCACAGCAUCCUCGCCGCCGUCCAGGAAGCACAGCGCCGCAGCCGCAACCGCAUGGCCGACCCGCUCAGGCCCGUGAUUGCCGUCACCCCGACCACCACCUCCGCGCUCCAGGCGCCGUCGCUCACGUCCCUGGCGCACACCCUCCGCCUCGUCGACGCCCCGCUGCGCUGGAUCGUCGUCGAGCCUGGCCACCGCACCGACGCCGUCGCCGCCGUGCUCGCCCGCUCCGGCCUCGACUUCCUCCACCUCGUCGCCUCCGACGGCCCCUCCACCGCGCGCCUGCGAAUGCACGCCCUCAGGGAGGUACGGAAGGAGAAGAUGGACGGCGUGGUGGUGUUCGCCGACGAGAACGGCAUCCUCCGGACGGAGCUGUUCGACGAGGCGCAGAAGGUCAAGUCCGUGGGCGCCGUGCCCGUGGGCAUUCUGGGCGAGGACGAAGGCACCAAGGAGUCCUUCCUGCAGGCGCCGGCCUGCGACGAGGCCGGGAAGCUGGUGGGCUACCACGUCUCGGAGGAGACGCUGCUGCCGGCGGCGCGGAGCGACAUGCUGCUGUCCACCCGGCUGGAGUGGGCCGGGUUCGUGGUGAACGCGCGGGUGCUCUGGGAGAGCGCAUCAGAGCGUCCCGAGUGGGUGCGCGACCUGGACGCCGUGGACGGCGGCGCGCACCUGGACAGCCCGCUGGCGCUGGUCACCGACGCCGGCCAGGUGGAGCCGCUCGCCAGAUGCGCCCGGGCGGCGCUGGCGUGGUCGCUCCGGUCAGACGCUCUGCAUGAAGUCAAGUUCCCGCAUGAGUGGAAAUUUGAUGCUCCUCUAGUAAGCGCCGCUUCGCGUCAGCAGAGCAGCGUAGUAAAUACUGAAGAUGGUCACUAG